RNAcentral lists this ribosomal RNA (431 nucleotides) under uncultured bacterium. Its description in RNAcentral is "partial 16S ribosomal RNA". It matches the Rfam family "Bacterial small subunit ribosomal RNA", at positions 29 to 507 of the family's 1533-position model. The record is from RNAcentral.
AACGAACGCUGGCGGCAGGCCUAACACAUGCAAGUCGAGCGCCCUUUCGGGGGAGCGGCGGACGGGUGAGUUGCGCGUGGGAAUAUGCCCUUCUCUACGAACUAGCCUCGGGCAUCUGAGAGUAAUACGGUAUACGCUCUAAGGGGGAAAGUUAUAUCGGGGAAGGAUUUGUCCGCGUUGGAUUAGGUAGUUGGUGGGGUAAUGGCCUACCAAGCCGACGAUCCAUAGCUGGUUUGAGAGAAUGAUCAGCCACACUGGGGCUGAGACACGGCCCAGACUCCUACGGAAGGCAGGAGAGGGGAAUCGUAGACAAUGGAGGCAACCCUGAUCUAGCCAUGCCGGGAAAGUGAUGAAGGCCUUAGGGUUGUAAAGCUCUUUCAGCUGAGAAGAUAAUGACGGUACCAGCAGAAGAAGCCCCGGCUAACUACGUG